UGAGAUUGAAGGGGGUGGGAAAACAUGGAAGCAAGACCAGAGAGUAAGGCUACAACAUGUUGAUACAGGUGGUUUCCUACACAGCCAUGACAAGAAGUAUACUCGUAUCGCCGGUGGACAGCAAGAGGUCUGUGGUGUUCGUGAAAAGCGUCCGGAUAACCUCUGGUUAGCAGUGGAGGGCGUGUAUCUCCCACUCAGUGGAAGCAAGUAGACAAAAAUUAUUCACCAUGAGUUUUUGUUCAGCUCAACAGUGCCUAUUACUAGUACUCAAAAGUGA
This 277-nucleotide unclassified non-coding RNA is filed under the name Hevea brasiliensis (rubber tree). Lineage: Eukaryota; Viridiplantae; Streptophyta; Magnoliopsida; Malpighiales; Euphorbiaceae. The record is from RNAcentral.